Long non-coding RNA from Patella vulgata (common limpet), 739 nucleotides. RefSeq lists it as uncharacterized. The record is from RefSeq and is a predicted model, not a curated record. Lineage: Eukaryota; Metazoa; Mollusca; Gastropoda; Patellidae. The transcript has 8 exons.
AAGCUUUACAGAGGCUUGCUGAUAAUCCUAAGAUCGAAAAUGGAGAUUUUGCUCCAUUACUCAAAUGUGUUCUAAAGGUUAUUGCUAAAGAUACCAAUGUUAUGUUGGUAGCCCUUGCAGGAAAAUGCCUAGCUGGUAUUGCUAAAGGUCUUCGAAAAAAGUUUGCACCAUAUGCAGCUAAUAGUAUGUCAACUAUAAUAGAUAAAUUUAAAGAGAAGAAACCAACAGUAGUAGCAGCUUUAAGAGAAGCUAGUGAUGCUGUGUAUCUUACCACUAAUUUAGAGGUGAUGACUGAACAUGCUGUGGCUGCAUUAGAAAAUAAAAAUCCACAAAUUCGAGCUGAGACAGCAUUAUUACUAGGUCGUUGUUUCUGUAGAUGUACUCAAUCUAGUCUACCCAAAAAGAUGUUAAAAAUAUUUUGCACCAGUUUACUAAAGACUGUAAAUGAUACUACAGGGGAAGUGAGAGAAGCAUCAUUUCAAGCAUUAGGUACAGCUAUGAAAGUUGUCACAGAAAAAAAUAUAGCUCCUUUCCUAGUGGAUAUUGAUCCUAUUAAAUUGACCAAGAUUCAAGAAUGUUGUACUAAUGCUGUACUGUUAAAUGCUAAAGGUGAACCCCGAGGUGGAGGAGCAGCAGCUGCACCCAAAAUGUCUGAACCAAAAGUUGUUAAACCCAAUAGUGCUAAAGUUACCAAGCCUCCAGAAUCUAAACCACCAUCUGACACCGGCUCUAAACCGGC